This 578-nucleotide ribosomal RNA is filed under the name uncultured Lachnospiraceae bacterium. Its description in RNAcentral is "bacterial SSU rRNA". It matches the Rfam family "Bacterial small subunit ribosomal RNA", at positions 139 to 735 of the family's 1533-position model. Lineage: Bacteria; Bacillati; Bacillota; Clostridia; Lachnospirales; Lachnospiraceae. The record is from RNAcentral.
GGGGAUAACGGUUAGAAAUGACUGCUAAUACCGCAUAAGCGCACAGUACCGCAUGGUACGGUGUGAAAAACUCCGGUGGUAUGAGAUGGACCCGCGUCUGAUUAGCUAGUUGGUGGGGUAACGGCCCACCAAGGCGACGAUCAGUAGCCGACCUGAGAGGGUGACCGGCCACAUUGGGACUGAGACACGGCCCAGACUCCUACGGGAGGCAGCAGUGGGGGAUAUUGCACAAUGGAGGAAACUCUGAUGCAGCGACGCCGCGUGAGUGAAGAAGUAUUUCGGUAUGUAAAGCUCUAUCAGCAGGGAAGAAAAUGACGGUACCUGAAUAAGAAGCCCCGGCUAACUACGUGCCAGCAGCCGCGGUAAUACGUAGGGGGCAAGCGUUAUCCGGAUUUACUGGGUGUAAAGGGAGCGUAGACGGAGACGCAAGUCUGAAGUGAAAUACCCGGGCUCAACCUGGGAACUGCUUUGGAAACUGUGUUGCUAGAGUGCUGGAGAGGUAAGCGGAAUUCCUAGUGUAGCGGUGAAAUGCGUAGAUAUUAGGAAGAACACCAGUGGCGAAGGCGGCUUACUGGACA